GCGUGCGCUCGGGCUGGUCGGCCGUCAUGGUCUGCACCGUUCGGGUCACGCCCCACUGUAGGAUACUCACCGCUGUCCUUAACUGGGUGGCGGUCAAAGGCGGUUUUUCGGGGAGUGUGGGGGCAACUCUGCACACCGGCCGCUGGGGUUCCUACUCUUUUACUUUGAGCAAAUUAGAGUGUUCAAAGCAGGCAAUCGAGCCUUGAAUACUUCAGCAUGGGAUAAUGGAACAGGACUGGGGUCCUGAUUUCGUUGGUUUCUGGGAUUUCAGUA
This 273-nucleotide ribosomal RNA is filed under the name uncultured fungus. Its description in RNAcentral is "partial small subunit ribosomal RNA". The stretch from base 144 to 273 matches the Rfam family "Eukaryotic small subunit ribosomal RNA", at positions 736 to 864 of the family's 1831-position model. Lineage: Eukaryota; Fungi. The record is from RNAcentral.